CCUACGGGUGGCAGCAGUCGAGAAUCAUUCACAAUGGGGGAAACCCUGAUGGUGCGACGCCGCGUGGGGGAAUGAAGGUCUUCGGAUUGUACACCCCUGUCAUGUGGGAGCAAAUUAAGAAGAUAGUACCACAAGAGGAAGAGACUGCUAACUCGGUGCGAGCAGCCUCGGUAAUACAGAGGGUUCAAGCGUUGUUCGGAAUCACUGGGCGUAAAGCGUGCGCAGGCGGUUUGGUAAGUCGGGUGUGAAAGGCUCGGGUUCAACCCGCGGACGGGAACUGAUACUGCGAGGCUGGAGUGACGGAGAGGGAGGCGGAAUUCGCGGUGUAGCAGUGAAAUGCGUAGAGAUCGAGAGGAACACUGGUGGCGAAGGCGGGUUCCUGGACAUUAACUGACGCUGAGGCGCGAAGGCGAGGGGAGCGAACGGGAUUAGAUACCCGAGUAGUC
Molecule: ribosomal RNA, 446 nt
Filed under: uncultured bacterium
Lineage: Bacteria
Description: partial 16S ribosomal RNA
Rfam family: Bacterial small subunit ribosomal RNA
Source: RNAcentral